Molecule: unclassified non-coding RNA, 318 nt
Filed under: plant metagenome
Description: partial contains 5.8S ribosomal RNA, internal transcribed spacer 2, and large subunit ribosomal RNA
Rfam family: 5.8S ribosomal RNA (bases 1-105)
Source: RNAcentral
GAAAUGCGAUAAGUAAUGUGAAUUGCAGAAUUCAGUGAAUCAUCGAAUCUUUGAACGCACAUUGCGCCCGCCAGAAUUCUGGCGGGCAUGCCUGUUCGAGCGUCAUUUCAACCCUCGAGCUCCCCUUUCGGGGGGAGCCCGGCGUUGGGGACCCGGCGCUAACAACGCCGGCCCCGAAAUGGAGUGGCGGCCCGUCCGCGGCGACCUCUGCGUAGUAACAACCACUCGCACCGGGACCCGGGCGCGGCCACGCCGUAAAACACCCCACCUUCCGAAUGUUGGCCUCGAAUCAGGUAGGAAUACCCGCUGAACUUAAGC